RNAcentral lists this ribosomal RNA (247 nucleotides) under uncultured bacterium. RNAcentral describes it as "partial 16S ribosomal RNA". It matches the Rfam family "Bacterial small subunit ribosomal RNA", at positions 523 to 769 of the family's 1533-position model. The record is from RNAcentral.
AUACGAAGGGGGCUAGCGUUGUUCGGAAUUACUGGGCGUAAAGCGCAUGUAGGCGGACAUUUAAGUCAGGGGUGAAAUCCCGGGGCUCAACCUCGGAACUGCCUUUGAUACUGGGUGUCUAGAGUGUGGAAGAGGUAAGUGGUAUUCCGAGUGUAGAGGUGAAAUUCGUAGACAUUCGGAGGAACACCAGUGGCGAAGGCGGCUUACUGGUCCAUCACUGACGCUGAGGUGCGAAAGCGUGGGGAGC